RNAcentral lists this ribosomal RNA (468 nucleotides) under uncultured bacterium. RNAcentral describes it as "partial 16S ribosomal RNA". It matches the Rfam family "Bacterial small subunit ribosomal RNA", at positions 28 to 507 of the family's 1533-position model. The record is from RNAcentral.
GACGAACGCUGGCGGCGUGCUUAACACAUGCAAGUCGAACGGAAAGGCCCCGCUUUUGUGGGGUGCUCGAGUGGCGAACGGGUGAGUAACACGUGAGUAACCUGCCCUUGACUUUGGGAUAACUCCAGGAAACUGGGGCUAAUACCGGAUAGGAGCUCCUGCUGCAUGGUGGGGGUUGGAAAGUUUCGGCGGUUGGGGAUGGACUCGCGGCUUAUCAGCUUGUUGGUGGGGUAGUGGCUUACCAAGGCUUUGACGGGUAGCCGGCCUGAGAGGGUGACCGGCCACAUUGGGACUGAGAUACGGCCCAGACUCCUACGGGAGGCAGCAGUGGGGAAUAUUGCACAAUGGGCGGAAGCCUGAUGCAGCAACGCCGCGUGCGGGAUGACGGCCUUCGGGUUGUAAACCGCUUUCGCCUGUGACGAAGCGUGAGUGACGGUAAUGGGUAAAGAAGCACCGGCUAACUACGUG